This 503-nucleotide ribosomal RNA is filed under the name uncultured bacterium. RNAcentral describes it as "partial 16S ribosomal RNA". It matches the Rfam family "Bacterial small subunit ribosomal RNA", at positions 30 to 523 of the family's 1533-position model. The record is from RNAcentral.
AUUGAACGCUGGCGGCAGGCCUAACACAUGCAAGUCGAGCGGUAACACAGGGAGCUUGCUCCCGGGUGACGAGCGGCGGACGGGUGAGUAAUGUCUGGGAAACUGCCUGAUGGAGGGGGAUAACUACUGGAAACGGUAGCUAAUACCGCAUAACGUCGCAAGACCAAAGAGGGGGACCUUCGGGCCUCUUGCCAUCAGAUGUGCCCAGAUGGGAUUAGCUAGUAGGUGGGUAACGGCUCACCUAGGCGACGAUCCCUAGCUGGUCUGAGAGGAUGACCAGCCACACUGGAACUGAGACACGGUCCAGACUCCUACGGGAGGCAGCAGUGGGGAAUAUUGCACAAUGGGCGCAAGCCUGAUGCAGCCAUGCCGCGUGUAUGAAGAAGGCCUUCGGGUUGUAAAGUACUUUCAGCGGGGAGGGAGGUCUUGAGGUUAAUAACCUCAGCAAUUGACGUUACCCGCAGAAGAAGCACCGGCUAACUCCGUGCCAGCAGCCGCAGUAA